AGCGAACGCUGGCGGCAGGCCUAACACAUGCAAGUCGAACGAACCUUUCGGGGUUAGUGGCGGACGGGUGAGUAACACGUGGGAACGUGCCUUUAGGUUCGGAAUAACUCAGGGAAACUUGUGCUAAUACCGAAUGUGCCCUUCGGGGGAAAGAUUAAUCGCCCUUAGAGCGGCCCGCGUCUGAUUAGCUAGUUGGUUGAGGUAAUGGCUCACCAAGGCGACGAUCAGUAGCUGGUCUGAGAGGAUGAUCAGCCACAUUGGGACUGAGACGCGGCCCAAACUCCUACGGGAGGCAGGAGUGGGGAAUCUUGCGCAAUGGGCGAAAGGCUGACGCAGCCAUGCCGCGUGAAUGAUGAAGGUCUUAGGAUUGUAAAAUUCUUUCACCGGGGACGAUAAUGACGGUACCCGGUGAAGAAGCCCCGGCUAACUUCGUG
Molecule: ribosomal RNA, 434 nt
Filed under: uncultured bacterium
Lineage: Bacteria
Description: partial 16S ribosomal RNA
Rfam family: Bacterial small subunit ribosomal RNA
Source: RNAcentral